Molecule: non-coding RNA, 74 nt
Organism: Pteropus alecto (black flying fox)
Lineage: Eukaryota; Metazoa; Chordata; Mammalia; Chiroptera; Pteropodidae
Source: Rfam
GGCUCCAUAGUGUAGUGGUUAGCACGUCUGCUUUACACUCAGAAGGCCCUGGGUUUGCACCUCAGGUGGAGCCA